UGUAAGCGUAUACCAAAGUUGUUGCAGUUAAAACGCUCGUAGUCGGAAUUUGGCAGUUCCGGAUGUGUGCACGUCGUGUGCGCACUUCGCGGGGAUUGCUUUUGUGGUCUUGCGUAGGAUGAGGCACUUUUAUUAGUGAACGUCCUCACGCAACCACUUUUUACUGUGAGAAAAUCAGAGUGCUCAAAGCAGGCAUUUGCCGUGAAUGUAUUAGCAUGGAAUAAUAGAAUAGGACUUGGUUCUAUUUUGUUGGUUUGUUGGGACUGAGUAAUGAUUAAGAGGGACAGCUGGGGGCAUUUGUAUUUCGGUGCUAGAGGUGAAAUUCUUAGAUUACCGAAAGACAAGCUGCUGCGAAAGCGUCUGCCAAGGAUGUUUUCAUUGA
Molecule: ribosomal RNA, 382 nt
Filed under: uncultured eukaryote
Lineage: Eukaryota
Description: partial 18S ribosomal RNA
Rfam family: Eukaryotic small subunit ribosomal RNA
Source: RNAcentral